GCCGACCUAGCUCAAUCUGGCAGAGCAACUGACUUGUAAUCAGUAGGUUGGGGGUUCGAGUCCCUCGGUCGGCA
Molecule: transfer RNA, 74 nt
Organism: Pontibacillus chungwhensis BH030062
Lineage: Bacteria; Bacillati; Bacillota; Bacilli; Caryophanales; Bacillaceae
Rfam family: tRNA
About the family: Transfer RNA (tRNA) molecules are approximately 80 nucleotides in length. Their secondary structure includes four short double-helical elements and three loops (D, anti-codon, and T loops).
Source: Rfam